Ctenopharyngodon idella (grass carp) is the source of this 4688-nucleotide long non-coding RNA. RefSeq lists it as uncharacterized. The record is from RefSeq and is a predicted model, not a curated record. The transcript has 3 exons. Lineage: Eukaryota; Metazoa; Chordata; Actinopteri; Cypriniformes; Xenocyprididae.
GAAAAAGUAGUUCAUAUUUUGUUGUAAAUUUAAUGAUCAUAUUUUGUUGUAAAUUUACUUUACUAGUUAUUUGAAAUAAGUAAUCUGAUAACGUAACUUAUAAAAACUUAGUUCCUGUCCUUGAUUCUGAUUGGUCAAUAGCUGUGUUUUAUUCACGAUAAAACACAGCUAUGACCGCUUCACCCAACGGUUCUGUGUAUCACUACACAACACCCUUAGUAACCAUGUCCGAUGUAUUAUCUUGUCCUUUUAACAGUUAAGGGGUUUUCCCGUGACUGACAGCGCUAGACAAAGCAUUUGUCAGUUGCGUCUUGUUCCGUGUUCACAACAAUUCAGGCUUUUCAAUGUAAAAGUCUUUGCUACUGACUGACACACUCAUAAAGACAGUCUUUGCCGCCAUCUAAUGUAACUUUUGUUGCUGUUCACGGUCAGGGACUAUUUUUUUCCGGUGGAAGGAAGGCUUUUAGUGAAAUUUACUUCAUGAAAGUUGCAUUGAUACAUAUUUUUGGCUUUAAUGUUUGUAUUGUGUGGUAACCGUUUUAUAAAAGCAGUAAGGUACUUGAGGCUAGUGCUGUAUCAUGAAUAAGUCACGGCUGAAGGGGUUACUCUGCUUUGCAUCAUGCCUAACAACGCCCUUCAUCCGUGACUUGUUUUCACAAUACAGCACAGCCUCGAGUACCUUAUUGCUUACUCACGUUACUUGUAAUGCAUUACCCCAACACUGGUUCUGUAACCUUAUAACAACUUUAUAAGAAUCUGGACAUUUUAAUGAUUUAAAAACAUUUCAAAACAAUGUUCCCACAACCAAAAUGGAAUGUUUGGAAAACGUUUUUAGAAUCUAAAUUUGUGACUAAUAUCACUCUAAAAGACAAUUUUACUGCUCGACUAACUUUUUCUUUUUACACAAAUGAAAUCAUGCUUUAACAAAAAUAAGCUUUAAAUGUAUGAUUUUUAAACUCUCCAUCUUCAUUUCAUGCUAGACCUCCUUUGUGUUAUGCGUUUCCCAGCUAACUAAAAUAUGUUCUAAGAACGUUUUGCUAAAGUUCACAUUAAGUUAUAUCUGAAAGUUUGCUGAACGUUUAAAACAUCCAGUUUUAAAAAUGGUUUAAAACGUUGUUGUUUUUUCUUGGUUAUGAGAACAUUAACUUUUGAAUGUUCUCAGAACGUUCUGAAAAAAAACAAAAACAAAAAAAAAAACAUUUACAUUUAAAAAAUAAUAGAUGAACGUCCAACUAAAGCAUUUAAGAAGAAAAAAACUUGCAAGAAUGAUGUAUAAAUGUUUUUGAGCUAAUGUUUUGAGAACAUUAUUAAUGACACACUAAAGCCUAACACUCAAAAUAUUUAAUUGUUUGAGUAGGACAAACUUAAAUUAAACAAAAUAGUUCAGUCAAAUGAACUUUUAUGAGUAUUUAGCACUUUCUUUUCACUUUCAGUUCACAGAACUGACAUAUUUUAAGUAAACUGAACUGUUUCAAUGUUUUGAGUUUUAUUAACUUAUUUCUUUUAAUUUAGAUGAACUUAAGUGACCAGUUUAACUGAAACUGGGCUGGGAUUUAUAUUUCCCAGCAUGCUUUGCCCAUGGCACUCGGAAGGGGGAGAAAAUGUUAAAAUUAAGUGUUAUAUAAUGUAUUUUUGUGCAAGAUUACUGUUAAUUGGGAGAUUUAUUAGUGAUUAAUGUUUUGUUAUGCUAAUUUAGAAGAGUUUUAAUGUUUAAUGCUUUAUAUUGCUGCAAUCAUUCAGAAAGUGCUAUACCGUGCUAUUAACAUGCAAAUUAUCAUUUUCUGAAUUAUUAUAAACCCUUAUUCGGGUUUACAGUGCAGAUUUCUUUCUGCAUAACUUUAAUCUUUGUUCAUAACUUUAAGAGAACCUUACCAGAAUUUUAAGUGAAUGUUUUAUGUUAAUUGGGUUGGUUCAUGCAUUUAAACAUUCUGAGUGAUGAAAGUUUAGCUGACAUUGUCUGUGUUAAUCAUCAACAUGCCGCAGACGCGCUCCAUAUAGCCUAGGCCACAUUAAACAGUUGUAUAAGUUUGUUGUAUUAGCUGCAUUUGUCUGGUUUUGCUCAUUUGUUUUGAGGUACUAAUGUAUGUCGGAGAGACAUGAUCUUGUUCAAGCGUUGCGUGCACUUUGGCAUCAGGCCCAGAACGAUGUCUAACUUGUACUGUUACUGCAUGAAUUCUGUUUUGUCUGUCAGCGUCUCGUUUGUUCGUUGUAAUCAUGUUGCGUGUGAUUCACAAUCUUCCGGGAGGUUCACAGUGAGACAACUUCCUGUUUUGAUUGCGUUUCUCACAAACGCUGUUUUCUGUUACACAUCCAGCUCGGUUAUGUUUCGUAAUACUGUACUGAACACGUUGUAGCCCCCGGUCAUACUGCAAUUCUUGUAGUCUAAUAAAUAAUACACAGGAUGAGGAUUGUUUCGCAUCCUGACUCCUUACGCUGAUGAAACUGAUUAUUUUCCGAGGAAAUACGGGUGAGGUAGAUUUCUCCAGACAUUUCUCUUCAGAAUAUCCAACAAGUAGGUUAAAUAUGGAGAAUUAACUGCGCCUGUCGAGCAGCGCCUGAGGUUAAAGAUCCCUCUGACUGUGGGGAAUAUUUCAUAAGUCUGGAACAUAAUCACAGGCCAUAAUGAAAGGAUGAGAGCAGCGGCGUGUGGUGAUCGCUGAGGAGGAGGAGGGGAGCGACCCGGAGCUGCGAUCGCUCACUGAAGCGGGACUGUGAUGAAGGGGGAGUGUGUGACCCUGUCGCGCUCACGCUGUUACUGAACCUGCCGAGCUGCCGCUUCCAAAAGGGAUGGAUAUGGAGAAAAACACGCAGCGCUCUCUUGUCAGGGCAGUGUGUGGGCCGACGCAGAGCUGAAGUGCAGAGGGACUAAAAAUACAGCCGGCACGCCACUCACGAGGUUAGACUUGCUUUGAACAGUUGAUGGCAAUGCAGCUCUGGACUCUGGAUGUCCGUUGUGCUGAUAUCAGGAGUUUAAUGGCUGACAUACUGCUGGCCGUGGAGGUGAACCAACUCUGAUAAGACUGUGUGUGUGUACGUGUGUGUGUGUGUGUGUGUGUGUGUACUGUACAAUCUCACUGAACACAAGCGCAGUGUCUCUCCUGCACUGCAGCUGUAACAGCUCAGAUAAACACUAAAGAACUUUGCUUUGUGAUAAUCUUCAACAUAUACAUGAUUUCUAAUCUUCAGAUUCUUGCAUGCCAGUUACCACAGAUUAUCAUUUUUCGUUAAAGUGAACAACUCUUUAAUAUUAAUGUGUACACUGUAAAAAAAAAAUAUUUUCAUGAUUUGUUAUCACAACAUUUUUUCUUUUGUCAAAUCAACUUAGAUAAUUAAUGUGGUUCAGAUGACAUAAUAUUUUGAGUUUCUGUUGAUCAAACCAGUCGCCUUCAUUGUAUUAACUCAAAUUUUUAAUUUCAAUGAACUUAAAAUUUUAAGGCAACCAGGUAACUUUCAGAAAAGCUCUUAUUUUUGUACUUUAACUUGUGACUGGUGUUAUGUUUUUUGUUAAUAUUUUUAAUGAAUUUUAUUUUUAUAUUUUCUGUUGUAACUUUUAGUUAAUUCAGUGUUUUGGUAAUUUUGUUGUGUUUUUGUAAUUUUUAUUAGUUUUUUUUUUUCUUUUCUUAAAUAUGUCCAUAUAGUUCUACAUUUUUAUUUCAUUUUUAGUUGUUUUAGUACUUCAAGUUAAAAUAAAAUGAGAAAUGUUGAAAUAGCUGAAAUAAGUUUUAGUAUCAUUGCUUCUAUUUUGAAUUAAAUUUUAUUUUUAUAUUUUUUGUUUUCAAUUUUAUUUUAGUCAACAUUUUAGUAAUUGUGUGUGUUUUUUUGAUUUACUGGUGUGUUUAUUCAUUUUUUGCCCCUUAAAUGUGUUUACAUAGUUAUUACAUAUAUUAUUACAUAUUACAUAUAUUACAUAUUACAGUUACAUAUAUUAUUUCAGUUUUAGUAAUUUUAGAAAUAUUGCCUUGGCAUAGCUGAUAUAUGUGUGUGUGUGUGUGUGUGUGUGUGUGUGUGUAUAUAUAUAUAUAUAUAUAUAUGAUUUUUUUUUUUUUUUCAAUUAUUUUUACACUGACGUUUUACAACAAAGCCUCAUUUGUUAUCAUUAGUUAAUGCAUUAACUAUGUUAACCAUGUUAUAUUUUUACACCAUUUAUUGUCCUUUGUUAAUGUUACUUAAUAAAAAAUGUCGAUAUUCAUGUAAGUUCACAGUGCAUUAACUAAUGUUAACAGAUCUAAAAAUUAGUAAAUGUUGAGAAGAUUAACAGUAGCUAAGCUAAUUAAAUAAUCUCCCGGUUUCACAGACAAGGCUUAAACUAGUCCCAGACUAAAAUGCAUGUUUGAGCUGUUUUAACUGAACGCAACUUGCACUGAACAUAUCUUAAAAUAUGUCAGUGCCAUUAUUUUGUCUCAAGAUGUAUACCAGUAGGCAUGAUGCGAUAAUUGAUGAAGCUAGUUAAUGCAUUAACUGAGAUUAAGAAUGAGCAAUAGCAACAUUUGUUACAGAAGGUAUUAUUUUUAGUUAAUGUUAGUUAAAAAGUACAACUGAUCAUUGUUAGUUUUAGCUCAGGUCCAUUAAAUAAUAGUAACAACUUUUGAUCUUAGUAAUGUUAUUAAACAUUAAGAAAUUAACAUUAAGAUUAAUAAAUGCUUUAUAAGUAUUUUUAUUGUCAGUUUGGUAAUAAUGUUAACAUGUUA